RNAcentral lists this ribosomal RNA (450 nucleotides) under uncultured bacterium. RNAcentral's name for it is "bacterial SSU rRNA". It matches the Rfam family "Bacterial small subunit ribosomal RNA", at positions 354 to 796 of the family's 1533-position model. The record is from RNAcentral.
GUGGGGAAUAUUGGACAAUGGGCGAAAGCCUGAUCCAGCCAUGCCGCGUGUGUGAAGAAGGUCUUCGGAUUGUAAAGCACUUUAAGUUGGGAGGAAGGGCAGUAAGUUAAUACCUUGCUGUUUUGACGUUACCAACAGAAUAAGCACCGGCUAACUUCGUGCCAGCAGCCGCGGUAAUACGAAGGGUGCAAGCGUUAAUCGGAAUUACUGGGCGUAAAGCGCGCGUAGGUGGUUCAGCAAGUUGAAGGUGAAAUCCCCGGGCUCAACCUGGGAACUGCCUCCAAAACUGCAUGACUAGAGUACGGUAGAGGGUAGUGGAAUUUCCUGUGUAGCGGUGAAAUGCGUAGAUAUAGGAAGGAACACCAGUGGCGAAGGCGACUACCUGGACUGAUACUGACACUGAGGUGCGAAAGCGUGGGGAGCAAACAGGAUUAGAAACCCGGGUAGUCC